Molecule: transfer RNA, 66 nt
Filed under: Laxta sp. AUS2
Lineage: Eukaryota; Metazoa; Arthropoda; Insecta; Blattodea; Blaberidae
Description: tRNA-Phe
Rfam family: tRNA
About the family: Transfer RNA (tRNA) molecules are approximately 80 nucleotides in length.
Source: RNAcentral
AUUUAGAUAGCUUAAUAAAAAGCGUAGCACUGAAGAUGCUAAUAUGAUUUAAAGAAUCUUUAAAUA